Papaver somniferum (opium poppy) is the source of this 474-nucleotide long non-coding RNA. RefSeq lists it as uncharacterized. The record is from RefSeq and is a predicted model, not a curated record. NCBI's taxonomy places the organism in Eukaryota, Viridiplantae, Streptophyta, Magnoliopsida, Ranunculales, Papaveraceae. The transcript has 2 exons.
AACACAACAACUAAAAUUGUUAUCAAGCCACCCCUAGCCUGCAUAUAUUCUUUUCAAGCCACUCCUAAUUCCAAAUCCUAGUUCCGCUCCUGAUUAAGCCUUCAAGAAAUCCACAGACGAUGCUCUAUCUUUGUUAACACAAUAAGACGAGGACGUACGAGACACCACACCGAGGGAUAAAAACAGGGGACGGAGAAAGAGAGUGGUAGAAUUAUAGCCUAAUAGGGGAUCAACAGUCAUUAUAGAUGGAUAGAUAUGGGUUACUUCCAUCAAGUCACUAGUUGAAAGUCGAUGAGUUGACAUUUUUCAUCUUUGAUGUUGCGGAAAGUGGACUGUCAGCAGCUAUUACUCGGUGGAAUCCAUGUCAUUAUUACAAAAUUUGUAGUACUGAUUUUAGAUUUUUUUUUCUUCUUAAAAAUAGUAAAUGUAAAUGAUUGGUUGGAUUUUGAACGAAUGACUUAUCCUAGAAGAAAA